UACGGGGGGGGCAAGCGUUGUUCGGAAUUACUGGGCGUAAAGGGCUCGUAGGUGGCCAACUAAGUCAGACGUGAAAUCCCUCGGCUUAACCGGGGAACUGCGUCUGAUACUGGAUGGCUUGAGUUUGGGAGAGGGACGCGGAAUUCCAGGUGUAGCGGUGAAAUGCGUAGAUAUCAGGAGGAACACCGGUGGCGAAGGCGGGAUCCUGGGCCAGUACUGACGCUGAGGAGCGAAAGCGUGGGGAGCAAACAGG
Molecule: ribosomal RNA, 253 nt
Filed under: uncultured bacterium
Lineage: Bacteria
Description: partial 16S ribosomal RNA
Rfam family: Bacterial small subunit ribosomal RNA
Source: RNAcentral